AAACAAAAUUGCUCUUUAAUUUUUUGUUUGAAUAUCAGAUAUAUUAUAUUAUUCAAUGUUAAGUGUAUUUGAAUGCUAAGAUACUAUCUAAAAAACAAUCAUAAUUCGAUUAUACUGACCUCUUGAUCGAUCUGAUCGAAACCAUGCUCUCUCACUGUCGAUUAAUCAGAAACUAAAAGCUAAACAAAAAACGGUCAAAGUUCCGUUUUCUUUUUCAUUGUUAAGUAAAGUAAUGCACACAUGUUGUAGACAGCUAUUACUCUGUAAAUUGUAACUAACACGCA
Molecule: long non-coding RNA, 284 nt
Filed under: Mytilus galloprovincialis (Mediterranean mussel)
Lineage: Eukaryota; Metazoa; Mollusca; Bivalvia; Mytilida; Mytilidae
Source: RNAcentral